This 28-nucleotide non-coding RNA is filed under the name Rattus norvegicus (Norway rat). The record is from RNAcentral. Lineage: Eukaryota; Metazoa; Chordata; Mammalia; Rodentia; Muridae.
UGCCCUUGAGAAGUUCAAGUAAUGUGAA